Molecule: ribosomal RNA, 429 nt
Filed under: uncultured bacterium
Lineage: Bacteria
Description: bacterial SSU rRNA
Rfam family: Bacterial small subunit ribosomal RNA
Source: RNAcentral
UGGGGAAUAUUGCACAAUGGGCGCAAGCCUGAUGCAGCCAUGCCGCGUGUGUGAAGAAGGCCUUCGGGUUGUAAAGCACUUUCAGUGAGGAGGAAGAACAUAGCUUUAAUAGAGGUGUGUUUUGACGUUACUCACAGAAGAAGCACCGGCUAACUCCGUGCCAGCAGCCGCGGUAAUACGGAGGGUGCAAGCGUUAAUCGGAAUUACUGGGCGUAAAGCGCACGCAGGCGGUUUGUUAAGUCAGAUGUGAAAUCCCCGCGCUUAACGUGGGAACUGCAUUUGAAACUGGCAAGCUAGAGUCUUGUAGAGGGGGGUAGAAUUCCAUGUGUAGCGGUGAAAUGCGUAGAGAUGUGGAGGAAUACCGGUGGCGAAGGCGGCCCCCUGGACAAAGACUGACGCUCAGGUGCGAAAGCGUGGGGAGCAAACAGG